AUUGAACGCUGGCGGCAUGCCUUACACAUGCAAGUCGAACGGCAGCACGGGUGCCUGCACCUGGUGGCGAGUGGCGAACGGGUGAGUAAUACAUCGGAACAUGUCCUGUAGUGGGGGAUAGCCCGGCGAAAGCCGGAUUAAUACCGCAUACGAUCCACGGAUGAAAGCGGGGGACCUUCGGGCCUCGCGCUAUAGGGUUGGCCGAUGGCUGAUUAGCUAGUUGGUGGGGUAAAGGCCUACCAAGGCGACGAUCAGUAGCUGGUCUGAGAGGACGACCAGCCACACUGGGACUGAGACACGGCCCAGACUCCUACGGGAGGCAGCAGUGGGGAAUUUUGGACAAUGGGCGAAAGCCUGAUCCAGCAAUGCCGCGUGUGUGAAGAAGGCCUUCGGGUUGUAAAGCACUUUUGUCCGGAAAGAAAUCCUUGACUCUAAUACGGUCGGGGGAUGACGGUACCGGAAGAAUAAGCACCGGCUAACUACGUG
This 486-nucleotide ribosomal RNA is filed under the name uncultured bacterium. RNAcentral's name for it is "partial 16S ribosomal RNA". It matches the Rfam family "Bacterial small subunit ribosomal RNA", at positions 30 to 507 of the family's 1533-position model. The record is from RNAcentral.